AACCAUAGAAACCUGCGGAGUACCUGCGGAAGGAUCAUUACCGAGUGCGGGUCCCCUCGCGGGGCCCAACCUCCCACCCGUGUCUACCGUCACCUGUUGCUUCGGCGGGCCCGCCUUCGUGCCGCCGGGGGGCCCUCUGCGCCCCCGGGCCCGCGCCCGCCGAAGACUCUAGGAACACUGAAUGAAGGAUGCCGUCUGAGUCAAACGACACAAUCGUUAAAACUUUUAACAACGGAUCUC
This 240-nucleotide unclassified non-coding RNA is filed under the name soil metagenome. RNAcentral describes it as "partial contains 5.8S ribosomal RNA, internal transcribed spacer 2, and large subunit ribosomal RNA". The record is from RNAcentral.